ACGGCCGCAAGGUUAAAACUCAAAUGAAUCGACGGGGGCCCGCACAGCGGUGGAGCAUGUGGUUUAUUUCGAUGCAACGCGAAGAACCUUACCUACUCUUGACAUCCAGAGAACUUAGCAGAGAUGCUUUGGUGCCUUCGGGAACUCUGAGACAGGUGCUGCAUGGCUGUCGUCAGCUCGUGUUGUGAAAUGUUGGGUUAAGUCCCGCAACGAGCGCAACCCUUAUCCUUUGUUGCCAGCGGUUAGGCCGGGAACUCAAAGGAGACUGCCAGUGAUAAACUGGAGGAAGGUGGGGAUGACGUCAAGUCAUCAUGGCCCUUACGAGUAGGGCUACACACGUGCUACAAUGGCGCAUACAAAGAGAAGCGACCUCGCGAGAGCAAGCGGACCUCAUAAAGUGCGUCGUAGUCCGGAUUGGAGUCUGCAACUCGACUCCAUGAAGUCGGAAUCGCUAGUAAUCGUAGAUCAGAAUGCUACGGUGAAUACGUUCCCGGGCCUUGUACACACCGCCCGUCACACCAUGGGAGUGGGUUGCAAAAGAAGUAGGUAGCUUAACCUUCGGGAGGGCGCUUACCACUUUGUGAUUCAUGACUGGGGUGAAGUCGUAACAAGGUAACCAAGGGCGAAUUCUG
RNAcentral lists this ribosomal RNA (632 nucleotides) under uncultured Serratia sp. RNAcentral describes it as "bacterial SSU rRNA". It matches the Rfam family "Bacterial small subunit ribosomal RNA", at positions 882 to 1515 of the family's 1533-position model. The record is from RNAcentral. Lineage: Bacteria; Pseudomonadati; Pseudomonadota; Gammaproteobacteria; Enterobacterales; Yersiniaceae.